This is a ribosomal RNA of 421 nucleotides. It matches the Rfam family "Bacterial large subunit ribosomal RNA", at positions 2000 to 2593 of the family's 2925-position model.
CCACACGAGGGUUUUACUGUCUCUUACUUCCAAUCAGUGAAAUUGACCUUCCCGUGAAGAGGCGGGAAUAUAUAAAUAAGACGAGAAGACCCUAUGGAGCUUUAAUUAACUAACCCACAGACAACAAACCCCACUUCUAAGGAAAACAAAACAACACCCUGAUGGGCUAGCAAUUUAGGUUGGGGUGACCUCGGAAUACAAAAAAACUUCCAAGUGAUUAAAAUCUAGACUAACAAGUCAAAAUUAACCACAUCAAACAUUGAUCCAAUUUAUUUGAUCAACGGAACAAGUUACCCUAGGGAUAACAGCGCAAUCCUAUUUGAGAGUCCAUAUCGAUAAUAGGGUUUACGACCUCGAUGUUGGAUCAGGACAUCCCAAUGGUGCAGAAGCUAUUAAUGGUUCGUUUGUUCAACGAUUAAAG